UACGUAGGGUGCGAGCGUUGUCCGGCAUUAUUGGGCGUAAAGGGCUCGUAGGCGGAUACUUAAGUAGGAAGUGAAAGGUGGGAGCUCAACUCCCACAUUGCUCCCUAUACUGGGUGUCUUGAGUGGUGGAGAGGGAGAUGGAACGACACGUGUAGCGGUGAAAUGCGUUGAUAUGUGUCGGAACACCAAUGGCGAAAGCAAUCUCCUGGACGCAAACUGACGCUGAGAUACGAAAGCCAAGGUAGCAAACAGG
This 253-nucleotide ribosomal RNA is filed under the name uncultured bacterium. RNAcentral describes it as "partial 16S ribosomal RNA". It matches the Rfam family "Bacterial small subunit ribosomal RNA", at positions 524 to 776 of the family's 1533-position model. The record is from RNAcentral.